This is a long non-coding RNA of Vicia villosa (hairy vetch), 1273 nucleotides long. RefSeq lists it as uncharacterized. The record is from RefSeq and is a predicted model, not a curated record. The transcript has 3 exons. Lineage: Eukaryota; Viridiplantae; Streptophyta; Magnoliopsida; Fabales; Fabaceae.
UUCAGUUAAUUCUAAUCAUUAAUACUCAGACCUUAUACACAUUUGAUGGAUUAAUUCAAUUAAUGUUCAUAAUUUCAAUUAAAACAAAUUAAUAGAAAAGAGGGAUUUAGGGUUACUUGUUUUUGUGACUCUUGAGCUUCUGAAGAGCUUUCUUCUUCCUCAUGGCCAAAACACAAAACGGCGCGGCUAUCUUCGUUCUUCCCCGAUGAGUUUCAGAUCAAAGCUUCACCGUGACCGCUUCCGGUCAUCGCGAACCACAACACAAAACCACAAUUCGUUCCCUCUCGCCCCCUUUCAUUUCUUGCUCGAUCUUUUCCCUCAUUUUUUGUUCCGUUCGAUGAAGAUUGAUGUUCGAACGAAAAAGAAGAUAUCAGAGGCGACCUCAAACAGGUUGAAACUCUAUCGUGAAGCUAAAUCGAAGAUGAUCUCGCUGUUGUGAACCGGUGCUUGCUAUGGUUGAGCUCGGAUCAGAAACACGAAAAAUGAUGCGUGCCUCUUCAGAAACUUGUUGAAGACGAUGAAGAUAAGAAGAAUCUUGCAGGGAGAACCGAUGAUUUCCAGAUGAGUUGCCUUGUGCGAUUUUCUGCCGAAACGGAAACGGUUAUGGAUGCGUGUUUUUUUUUGUCAAUUCUGAUAUGUGAUUCAAAUCUGAAUGAAGGGAGAGCUAAGUUGAGUGUUUGACUCCAGGAUGAAGGUCGAAGGAGAAUUGCAGAAUUUCGUUGAUGAUGAAUUAAUGAUUCGAGAGUAGAGUGAAGAUGAAACUUGGUUCAAGAUUGUUUAUUCAGAGAUGAAGAAUAAUGGAUGUUGGAUAAAGAUUGAAGAAUGAGGGAUGAAGAUGGUGAUUGAAGGGGAAUGAUGAAAAGGUUCAAGGUGAUGAGGAUAGGGGAAGAUGAUUGAAGAUGAUGAAUUGAGGUGGAGAGAGCACCCUGAAAAUGGUGGAGAUGCUGAUGAUAUAUAGAGGUUUAAUUUGAAACAUAAAAAAGUAUGGCUAGCACCCUAAUGAGGAUGAAACAAAAUGGGCUUAAAGGAUUUGAUUGAAGCUUGAACGUGAAAUAGUGCAUUUGAGGAAGACCUUGAAAUCUUUUUAAGUGUAGCUUUUUUUGUAAUUUGAAUGUAAUGAUCUCAGCUUGAAUUUGUAAAUGAAGUAUGCUCUUUUGUAAUGAACUCGAAACUUGGGAUGAUUGUGAGCGAUGUUGACUUUCAUGAACUUGUAGCAAACUUUAGAAGAAGCUGUAAUGAAUCCUGAUAACCAUUUGAAUGGGUUUAUCUUAAA